GAUGAACGCUGGCGGCGUGCCUAAUACAUGCAAGUCGAGCGAACAGACGAGGAGCUUGCUCCUCUGACGUUAGCGGCGGACGGGUGAGUCACACGUGGAUAACCUCCCUAUAAGACUGGGAUAACUUCGGGAAACCGGAGCUAAUACCGGAUAAUAUAUUGAACCGCAUGGUUCAAUAGUGAAAGUCGGUUUUGCUGUCACUUAUAGAUGGAUCCGCGCCGCAUUAGCUAGUUGGUACGGUAACGGCUUACCAAGGCAACGAUGCGUAGCCGACCUGAGAGGGUGAUCGGCCACACUGGAACUGGGCCACGGUCCAGACUCCUACGGGAGGCAGCAGUAGGGAAUCUUCCGCAAUGGGCGAAAGCCUGACGGAGCAACGCCGCGUGAGUGAUGAAGGUCUUCGGAUCGUAAAACUCUGUUAUUGGGGAAGAACAAAUGUGUAAGUAACUAUGCACGUCUUGACGGUACCGAAUCAGAAAGCCACGGCUAACUACGUG
This 497-nucleotide ribosomal RNA is filed under the name uncultured bacterium. RNAcentral describes it as "partial 16S ribosomal RNA". It matches the Rfam family "Bacterial small subunit ribosomal RNA", at positions 28 to 507 of the family's 1533-position model. The record is from RNAcentral.